This 478-nucleotide ribosomal RNA is filed under the name uncultured bacterium. RNAcentral describes it as "bacterial SSU rRNA". It matches the Rfam family "Bacterial small subunit ribosomal RNA", at positions 34 to 504 of the family's 1533-position model. The record is from RNAcentral.
CGCUGGCGGCGUGCUUAACACAUGCAAGUCGAACGGUGAAGGGGCUGGCUUUUGUUGGUCCUGGAUGAGUGGCGAACGGGUGAGUAACACGUGAGUAACCUCGCCCCCUUCUUCUGGAUAACCGCAUGAAAGUGUGGCUAAUACGGGAUAUUCUGGGUCUGUCGCAUGGCGGGCCCGGGAAAGAUGCGCCUUUGGGUGUUUUUGGUGGGGGAUGGGCUCGCGGCCUAUCAGCUUGUUGGUGGGGUGAUGGCCUACCAAGGCGGUGACGGGUAGCCGGCCUGAGAGGGUGGACGGUCACACUGGGACUGAGACACGGCCCAGACUCCUACGGGAGGCAGCAGUGGGGAAUAUUGCACAAUGGGCGGAAGCCUGAUGCAGCAACGCCGCGUGCGGGAUGACGGCCUUCGGGUUGUAAACCGCUUUCACCCAUGACGAAGCGCGAGUGACGGUAGUGGGGGAAGAAGCACCGGCCAACUAC